RNAcentral lists this ribosomal RNA (253 nucleotides) under uncultured bacterium. RNAcentral describes it as "partial 16S ribosomal RNA". It matches the Rfam family "Bacterial small subunit ribosomal RNA", at positions 524 to 776 of the family's 1533-position model. The record is from RNAcentral.
UACGUAGGGUGCAAGCGUUGUCCGGAAUUAUUGGGCGUAAAGAGCUCGUAGGCGGUCUGUCGCGUCUGCUGUGAAAACUCAGGGCUUAACCCUGAGCUUGCAGUGGGUACGGGCAGACUAGAGUGCGGUAGGGGAGACUGGAAUUCCUGGUGUAGCGGUGAAAUGCGCAGAUAUCAGGAGGAACACCGGUGGCGAAGGCGGGUCUCUGGGCCGUAACUGACGCUGAGGCACGAAAGCGUGGGUAGCAAACAGG